AGGGACUUAAGUUCAAUUCUAGACUAAAAGCCUUCAAAGCUUUAAGUGGGGGCGGGAAUCCCUUAGUCCCUG
RNAcentral lists this transfer RNA (72 nucleotides) under Centropristis striata (black sea bass). RNAcentral's name for it is "tRNA-Trp". It matches the Rfam family "tRNA". From Rfam's summary of the family: Transfer RNA (tRNA) molecules are approximately 80 nucleotides in length. Their secondary structure includes four short double-helical elements and three loops (D, anti-codon, and T loops). Lineage: Eukaryota; Metazoa; Chordata; Actinopteri; Perciformes; Serranidae. The record is from RNAcentral.